AUUCAAUCUCCUUGUGCCUUGAUUUCCUUAUCAAUAAGUGAUUUGUUUUUAAAGAAGGAUUCACAAGCAAACAUAUCUGGUUUUUUUGUUUGUUUGUUUUUGAGACAGAGUCUCGCUCUGUUGUCCAGGCUGGAGUGCAGUGAUGCGAUCUUGACUCACUGCAACCUCCGCCUCCCAGGAGUUCAAGCGAUCCUCCUGCCUCAGUCUUCCGAGUAGCUGGGACUACAGGCAUGUGCCACCACACCCAGCUACUAUUUUUGUAUUUUUUUGUAGAGAUGGUUUCGCCAUGUUGGCCAGGCUGGUCUUGAACCCUUGACCUCAGGUGAUCCACCAGCCUCGGCCUCACAAAGUGCUGGGAUUACAGGUAUGAGCCACCACGCCCAGCCUGCAAACAUAUGUUGAACUCUUUGCACAGUGCCCUGCAUGAGAUAGAUGACAGCUCCUUCUUCCAUGUUGUUAAUUUGGUGUGAGUAUAUGUUAUAUGUAUGUAUAUGCAAGAUAAUAAUCUUCUUGUAACCACUGACAGGCCUUUUUGUGAAUGAUGAUGGAAAAAGCAAGAACCUUGUCCAGGUUCCUCUCCAGGGAGCAGGGGUGGGUUGUGAUUCUUGAUUUCAUUCCUUUAGAUAUGAAGAGUUUUCACACAGAGGCAGCACGAAUUUGUCUCUCUCCUAGAGGGUGGGGAGAGUUGCUGGGUGGAUAUAACUGCAUCACAGCCUUUCUGGGUAAACUGGCCACUCCCUACUGAUUUGUUAUCAUGCUAAAUGUGUCUCCUCCCUUCCUUUCUGGAGCUUUUGCAGCUGUUCCUGGAAGGAGACCCAGUUGAAAGGGGUUGUUAUGGACCAGGAACAGCUGGGAUCUUUAAUGAUCUGUGAGCAGCUUACAGCAAAGUUCCAACACCCUGAGUAUCAGUCCCCAAAUCCUUGGUCUUUGCAUUCCAACACAAAGUAAAAAGGAUUGAGCAGGGUUUUGGUUUUGGUUGCAAGUAACAGAAACCCAACGCUAAUUAAUAAACGGGAAAGUGUGUCAGUGGAAAUCUCCACAAGUCCGACGGAAAGAGAAAACUGCUUUCCCAAAGGGUGUAAGAGGAUGAAAGGCAUGUCAUCAGCUGAAUUGCAUCAGGUGUCCAUCUUGGAAUCAAUCACGGUGCCUCUUAUUAGCAAAGCCUGAGUCAUAGGUGAGUCUAUACUUGGAUGGGGUAGUAAGGAAAUCCCAUGUUGAUUGCAUGGAUGGAAAGUGGGGGUGUUGUGGUUUCAUAAUGGCUUAUUAGGGUUCAAUAAUCAGAACACCAAAUAAUCCAUGCUGGGAGGUAAAAAUUGCAGAUAUUUUACUUUAUGCCCCAAACUAGACUUCAAAUCUGUGCUGCUCUUCCAAUCAUGAAUCCGCAGAACAGAGGAUAGAAAGUUCAGGUCAAUUCAAAUUUGACAAACACUUUCCGAGCACUUACUAUGUGCCAAUAUCCGUGGGAGGCCCUGGGAAACCAAAGAUGAAUGAAACACAAACUCUGAUGUCAGAGACCUCACAGUCUGGUGUUUAAGACGAUAAUAGUCUGGAUUAGAUUCUGGUGUGAUGAGAUGGAUUGUCUCAUAAAAAACAGAGGGAAGGGAUUAUUUAACUCUGAUGGGUGGCUGGGUGCUGAGAAGACCCUCAGAGGGUGUAACCUUUGAGUCUUAAGGAGGAUUAAGUUUAAAGGGGAUUUUGUUGGAGGAUAAGCAUCAAGGAAAGCAUUCCAGGAAGAGAGACGGGCAUAUGCAAAGGUAUAGUGUUGUGACCUCUGAUUAAAUAUGGAUGAGACAGGACAGGGAAAAACACACUUGUUAGAUUGUGGCAAAUGCCCAUGUGAAGUGAUUAAGUGACUGAAAUUGGGCAGAGGUGGUGUGCUGGUAGAUUCUAAGGUGACCCCAGUGAUCCAUGCCUUGUAAAAUCUUCUCCCCUGUGAGUGCUCCUUGGUGAGCAGGUGAUGUUAUAUUGGGAGAUUGACUAUAAGAAGGGGAGACUAUCUGUGUGGUCCUGGCCUAAUGACAUGAAUCCUUUAAGAGCAGAGCUUUCUCCAGCUGGUAGAAAAAGGGGAAGUAUGAGACUUAAAGGUGGAGGUGGCCCCAUGGAAAAGACCUAAGGGUAGCCUGCGGGAACUGAGAGAAAACCCCAACUGGCAGCCAGCAAGAAAACAGGGACCUUAAUCUUACGACCACAAGGAACUGGACUCUGCUACCAGAAUGAGCUGCAAGGGAGAUUCUUCCUCAGAAGCUUCAGAUAAGAACUCCACCUGGCUGACCUUUGAUUUUGGUUUUGUGAGAACUUUGGCAGAUAACCCAGGCAUGUGUCAUUUCACAUCUGCAUAAAAAGACAUGCUGAAGGAUGUUCCUUGCAGAAUGGUUAUAGAGAAAAAUGGGAAUAACCACGAUAUAAAGUAACAGGAUUUCAACAGUGAAGGAGACCUGAGAAACCAUAAAAUCAAUCUCUCAAAUUGAAGUUGAAAAAAGCAAAUCAUCUCUCACACCCACCCUGAUUGAUCCAGAGCCAAUGGGUUCAUUUAAAACUCUCUUUCAUGAUGGCAAUGAAUAAAAGAGGAUCCUAGACCAUCAGAAGAUUUUAGCCUUGGAGCUCCCCACCGUCCUAACACACACAGAUAGAGCUGGCUCCGAACUCUGCUGCUUCCAUGGGAGCUUAUAGAACCUUGGGAACCAGGAACCCUUUAGGACCCUGUGAACUACAAGUCUGCUAUUUUAGGAAGUGGAUAAAAUGGCAUUUUGACAGAUCUGGAGGGUCUUGGAUCUACCUUUCAACAUUGGCAUUACUGAUAUUAGAGUACCACCACUCACUAGCUGUGGAGAUGUAGGAAGAUUACUUAACCACUCAGAGCCUUGGUUUCCUCAUUUGUUAUGUGAAGAUGACAAUAUCAGAUGACAGUGAGAUCUGAGAUGAAUUUAACUGCCUUCAGUAGUGCUGGCCUGCUCCUGAGAGAGAGAUGAUUGAGAGGGAGGAAGUAGAGAGGAGGAAGAAGCCUUUACUCACACUCCUUGAGGAGUGAUUCAGGUGGACAGCCUGAAUUACGGGAUUUAUUGGCAGCAAGAGUUUCUUUGCACAAGCUCUCUUUCUACCGCUGCCUCCAUGUAAGAUGUGACUUGCUCCUCCUUGCCUUCCACCAUGAUUGUGAGGCCUCCCCAUCCACGUGGAACUGCGAGGCCAAUUGAACUCCUUUCUUUUGUAAAUUGUCCAGUCUCAGGUAUGUCUUUAUCAGCAGUGUGAAAAUGGGCUAAUACAGUGCAUUUAUUUUUUUGAAGCAUGUCCAUACUUUCCAUUGGAUUCUCAAAGGGAUUCAGGACCUGGAAACUUUUUGAAAUACUGCUCCAUAGUAAAUGGCACAAAUCUCUCUGAAUCAAGGAUGUCUCUAGCCUUAGGCAAAGCUAGGUUGAAGGACAGAACAGAGAGUCAGCCUCUGGAGUGCCCUCUAUAAGGAAAAAGAAAACAUUACUAGAGUAAGUUGAUAAAGUAUAAAUUCAUCUCACUCCUACUGGACACUGCCCUUGAGUGAAAUUAAAAACUGAAAAAUUUUUGACAUAUCUUUUGAGCAUUUUUGUAAAAUACGCAUGUAGCUAUGGCCAAAAUUCUGGAAUAAAAUGGUACAUAUAGCCUUAGGUAUCCUGGCUCUGUUUCUUAAAGGAGUCAUAUUUACAGAAUUGCAGUUGUCCAGGUGCAGUGGCUCACGCCUGUAAUCCAAACAAUUUGGGAGGCCCAAGCAGGUGGAUCACUUGAAGUCAGGAGUUUGAGACCAGCCUGGUCAACAUGGUGAAACCCCAUCUCUAGUAAAAAUACAAAAAAAAAAUUAGCCGGGCAUGGUGGCGGGCACCAGUAAUCCCAGCUACUGGGGAGGCUGAGGCAGGACAAUUGCUUGAACCUGGGAGGCAGAGGUUGGGAGGUUGCAGUGACCCUAGAUAGCACCAUUGCACUCCAGCCUGGAUGACAGAGCGAGAUUCCAUCUCAAAAAAAAAGAAAGAAAGAAAGAAAGAAUUACAGUUGAUUAGCCACAAAUAAUUUCUAAAAUGUUUUUGCUCACAUCUCUCAUAAAAAUAAAAGAAUAUCCAUGUCCUGUCUUAUUUCUUAUAGCUGCCAGUACACCCCCCAGUUUCCUCUUAUAACUGUUUCAUCCAGAAUCCUUCACAUGGUUACCCUUCACUUUCUCUAUUCCAGUCCAGGUUGCUUAUUUUCUUUUCUCUGGCCUUCUCCCUGUUGCUUUGCUCUUCAUCGUGUAGAUUGAUUUAGUUGUUUUGGCUCAGUCCUUCCUUCUGUCUUCUGUUUCU
RNAcentral lists this long non-coding RNA (4298 nucleotides) under Homo sapiens (human). RNAcentral's name for it is "HSALNT0142508". The record is from RNAcentral. Lineage: Eukaryota; Metazoa; Chordata; Mammalia; Primates; Hominidae.